UAACAUCAAAUCGUACCCCAAACCGACACAGGUGGUCAGGUAGAGAAUACCAAGGCGCUUGAGAGAACUCGGGUGAAGGAACUAGGCAAAAUGGUGCCGUAACUUCGGGAGAAGGCACGCUGAUAUGUAGGUGAAGCGACUUGCUCGUGGAGCUGAAAUCAGUCGAAGAUACCAGCUGGCUGCAACUGUUUAUUAAAAACACAGCACUGUGCAAACACGAAAGUGGACGUAUACGGUGUGACGCCUGCCCGGUGCCGGAAGGUUAAUUGAUGGGGUUAGCGGCAACGCGAAGCUCUUGAUCGAAGCCCCGGUAAACGGCGGCCGUAACUAUAACGGUCCUAAGGUAGCGAAAUUCCUUGUCGGGUAAGUUCCGACCUGCACGAAUGGCGUAAUGAUGGCCAGGCUGUCUCCACCCGAGACUCAGUGAAAUUGAACUCGCUGUGAAGAUGCAGUGUACCCGCGGCAAGACGGAAAGACCCCGUGAACCUUUACUAUAGCUUGACACUGAACAUUGAGCCUUGAUGUGUAGGAUAGGUGGGAGGCUUUGAAGUGUGGACGCCAGUCUGCAUGGAGCCGACCUUGAAAUACCACCCUUUAAUGUUUGAUGUUCUAACGUUGGCCCGUAAUCCGGGUUGCGGACAGUGUCUGGUGGGUAGUUUGACUGGGGCGGUCUCCUCCUAAAGAGUAACGGAGGAGCACGAAGGUUGGCUAAUCCUGGUCGGACAUCAGGAGGUUAGUGCAAUGGCAUAAGCCAGCUUGACUGCGAGCGUGACGGCGCGAGCAGGUGCGAAAGCAGGUCAUAGUGAUCCGGUGGUUCUGAAUGGAAGGGCCAUCGCUCAACGGAUAAAAGGUACUCCGGGGAUAACAGGCUGAUACCGCCCAAGAGUUCAUAUCGACGGCGGUGUUUGGCACCUCGAUGUCGGCUCAUCACAUCCUGGGGCUGAAGUAGGUCCCAAGGGUAUGGCUGUUCGCCAUUUAAAGUGGUACGCGAGCUGGGUUUAGAACGUCGUGAGACAGUUCGGUCCCUAUCUGCCGUGGGCGCUGGAGAACUGAGGGGGGCUGCUCCUAGUACGAGAGGACCGGAGUGGACGCAUCACUGGUGUUCGGGUUGUCAUGCCAAUGGCACUGCCCGGUAGCUAAAUGCGGAAGAGAUAAGUGCUGAAAGCAUCUAAGCACGAAACUUGCCCCGAGAUGAGUUCUCCCUGAGACUUAGAGUCUCCUGAAGGAACGUUGAAGACGACGACGUUGAUAGGCCGGGUGUGUAAGCGCAGCGAUGCGUUGAGCUAACCGGUACUAAUGAACCGUGAGGCUUAACCUU
This 1318-nucleotide ribosomal RNA is filed under the name Escherichia coli. Its description in RNAcentral is "partial 23S ribosomal RNA". It matches the Rfam family "Bacterial large subunit ribosomal RNA", at positions 1632 to 2925 of the family's 2925-position model. Lineage: Bacteria; Pseudomonadati; Pseudomonadota; Gammaproteobacteria; Enterobacterales; Enterobacteriaceae. The record is from RNAcentral.